CCGAGGGCUCUCCCUUUUCCCAGAGCGCAUACCAAAGGCCGACUCCUUUGCAGGCUCCACGAGCCCCAUUCGCGGUGGAGAGGGGCGUUCCAGGCUGCAGGAAUACACAGUUUAGUCAACUAAAUGACCUAAUACUGAAAAUACAAUGGCCUCAGAAAAGACAGACUAUUUACAGAACUCUAUUCGUGAAACAGACAUUAGAGACAAUCCAAUCCCAUCUCUAUUACAUUCAACCCUUAGAAAUAAGAGUAUGAAAGAGAAAAUACAUACUCUGGAAUCCAUUGGUCCUACCCCACUUAUUCAGAAUAAUUCAAUUAAAAACAACAUACACCAUAUAGGAAUGUCAAC
Long non-coding RNA from Nomascus leucogenys (northern white-cheeked gibbon), 348 nucleotides. RefSeq lists it as uncharacterized. Lineage: Eukaryota; Metazoa; Chordata; Mammalia; Primates; Hylobatidae. The record is from RefSeq and is a predicted model, not a curated record. The transcript is spliced from 3 exons.